AGUGUAGGCGGUUGCCUAAGUCGGAUGUGAAAGCCCCGGGCUUAACCUGGGAAUUGCAUUCGAUACUGGGUGGCUAGAGUUUGGUAGAGGUAAGUGGAAUUCCGGGUGUAGCGGUGAAAUGCGUAGAUAUCCGGAGGAACAUCAGUGGCGAAGGCGGCUUACUGGACUAAAACUGACGCUGAGGCUCGAAAGCGUGGGUAGCAAACA
Molecule: ribosomal RNA, 207 nt
Filed under: uncultured bacterium
Lineage: Bacteria
Description: partial 16S ribosomal RNA
Rfam family: Bacterial small subunit ribosomal RNA
Source: RNAcentral